CCUACGGGGGGCAGCAGUGAGGAAUAUUGGUCAAUGGCCGAGAGGCUGAACCAGCCAAGUCGCGUGAGGGAAGACGGUCCUACGGGUUGUAAACCUCUUUUGUCGGGGAGCAAAGCGAACCACGUGUGGUUCAUUGAGAGUACCCGAAGAAAAAGCAUCGGCUAACUCCGUGCCAGCAGCCGCGGUAAUACGGAGGAUGCGAGCGUUAUCCGGAUUUAUUGGGGUUAAAGGGUGCGCAGGCGGAGGUGCAAGUCAGCGGUCAAAUUGCGGGGCUCAACCCCGUACUGCCGUUGAAACGGCAUCCCUUGAGUGCGCGAGAAGUAUGCGGAAUGCGUGGUGUAGCGGUGAAAUGCAUAGAUAUCACGCAGAACUCCGAUUGCGAAGGCAGCAUACCGGUGCGCAACUGACGCUCAUGCACGAAAGCGUGGGUAUCGAACAGGAUUAGAUACCCGAGUAGUC
Molecule: ribosomal RNA, 459 nt
Filed under: uncultured bacterium
Lineage: Bacteria
Description: partial 16S ribosomal RNA
Rfam family: Bacterial small subunit ribosomal RNA
Source: RNAcentral